CCUGGCUCAGGACGAACGCUGGCGGCGCGCCUAACACAUGCAAGUCGAACGAGCGAGAGAGAGCUUGCUUUCUCGAGCGAGUGGCGAACGGGUGAGUAACGCGUGAGGAACCUGCCUCAAAGAGGGGGACAACAGUUGGAAACGACUGCUAAUACCGCAUAAGCCCACGGCUCGGCAUCGAGCAGAGGGAAAAGGAGCAAUCCGCUUUGAGAUGGCCUCGCGUCCGAUUAGCUAGUUGGUGAGGUAACGGCCCACCAAGGCGACGAUCGGUAGCCGGACUGAGAGGUUGAACGGCCACAUUGGGACUGAGACACGGCCCAGACUCCUACGGGAGGCAGCAGUGGGGAAUAUUGCACAAUGGGGGAAACCCUGAUGCAGCGACGCCGCGUGGAGGAAGAAGGUCUUCGGAUUGUAAACUCCUGUUGUUGAGGAAGAUAAUGACGGUACUCAACAAGGAAGUGACGGCUAACUACGUGCCAGCAGCCGCGGUAAAACGUAGGUCACAAGCGUUGUCCGGAAUUACUGGGUGUAAAGGGAGCGCAGGCGGGAAGACAAGUUGGAAGUGAAAUCCAUGGGCUCAACCCAUGAACUGCUUUCAAAACUGUUUUUCUUGAGUAGUGCAGAGGUAGGCGGAAUUCCCGGUGUAGCGGUGGAAUGCGUAGAUAUCGGGAGGAACACCAGUGGCGAAGGCGGCCUACUGGGCACCAACUGACGCUGAGGCUCGAAAGUGUGGGUAGCAAACAGGAUUAGAUACCCUGGUAGUCCACACUGUAAACGAUGAUUACUAGGUGUUGGAGGAUUGACCCCUUCAGUGCCGCAGUUAACACAAUAAGUAAUCCACCUGGGGAGUACGACCGCAAGGUUGAAACUCAAAGGAAUUGACGGGGGCCCGCACAAGCAGUGGAGUAUGUGGUUUAAUUCGACGCAACGCGAAGAACCUUACCAAGUCUUGACAUCCUGCGACGGUUCUGGAAACAGUACUUUCCUUCGGGACGCAGAGACAGGUGGUGCAUGGUUGUCGUCAGCUCGUGUCGUGAGAUGUUGGGUUAAGUCCCGCAACGAGCGCAACCCUUAUGGUCAGUUACUACGCAAGAGGACUCUGGCCAGACUGCCGUUGACAAAACGGAGGAAGGUGGGGAUGACGUCAAAUCAUCAUGCCCUUUAUGACUUGGGCUACACACGUACUACAAUGGCGUUAAACAAAGAGAAGCAAGACCGCGAGGUGGAGCAAAACUCAGAAACAACGUCCCAGUUCGGACUGCAGGCUGCAACUCGCCUGCACGAAGUCGGAAUUGCUAGUAAUCGCAGAUCAGCAUGCUGCGGUGAAUACGUUCCCGGGCCUUGUACACACCGC
Molecule: ribosomal RNA, 1354 nt
Filed under: uncultured bacterium
Lineage: Bacteria
Description: bacterial SSU rRNA
Rfam family: Bacterial small subunit ribosomal RNA
Source: RNAcentral